GAUGAACGCUGGCGGCGUGCCUAACACAUGCAAGUCGAGCGAGAACCGCUGGAAUGACACUUCGGUAGAAUGAAAGCGGGAAAGCGGCGGACGGGUGAGUAACGCGUAGGUAACCUGCCCCAUACACAGGGAUAGCCUAGGGAAACCUGGAUUAAUACCUGAUGAAGCAACUGGUCGCAUGACCGGCUGCCAAAGAUUUAUCGGUAUGGGAUGGACCUGCGUCUGAUUAGUGAGUUGGUGGGGUAAUGGCCUACCAAAGCGACGAUCAGUAGCCGACCUGAGAGGGUGAUCGGCCACAUUGGAACUGAGACACGGUCCAAACUCCUGCGGGAGGCAGCAGUGGGGGAUAUUGCACAAUGGGCGGAAGCCUGAUGCAGCAACGCCGCGUCGAGCGAAGAAGGUCUUCGGAUCGUAAAGCUCUGUCCUGGGGGAAGAAACAAAUGACGGUACCCCGGGAGGAAGCCCCGGCUAACUACGUG
RNAcentral lists this ribosomal RNA (479 nucleotides) under uncultured bacterium. RNAcentral's name for it is "bacterial SSU rRNA". It matches the Rfam family "Bacterial small subunit ribosomal RNA", at positions 28 to 507 of the family's 1533-position model. The record is from RNAcentral.